RNAcentral lists this ribosomal RNA (250 nucleotides) under uncultured Thermovirga sp. Its description in RNAcentral is "partial 16S ribosomal RNA". It matches the Rfam family "Bacterial small subunit ribosomal RNA", at positions 1136 to 1382 of the family's 1533-position model. The record is from RNAcentral. Lineage: Bacteria; Thermotogati; Synergistota; Synergistia; Synergistales; Thermovirgaceae.
CACUCUGGAGGGACUGCCGGCGGACAAGCCGGAGGAAGUGGGGAUGACGUCAAGUCAUCAUGGCCCUUAUGUCCAGGGCGACACACGUGCUACAAUGGCCGGCACAGCGGGAAGCGGAGGGGCGACCCUGAGCGGAUCCCUUGAAAGCCGGUCCCAGUUCGGAGUUGCAGUCUGCAACUCGACUGCAUGAAGUUGGAAUCGCUAGUAAUCGCGGAUCAGCCAAGCCGCGGUGAAUACGUUCCCGGGCCUU